RNAcentral lists this non-coding RNA (167 nucleotides) under Numidum massiliense. The record is from RNAcentral. Lineage: Bacteria; Bacillati; Bacillota; Bacilli; Caryophanales; Bacillaceae.
AUAAGGUCACUCGCAACGCGAGUGUUAAAAAGGGAAGUUUGGUGCGAAGCCAACGCGGUCCCGCCACUGUGAUCACUAGGAUGUGCUUGCAACCCCACUGUCGCCUUGUGCGUGACGGGAAGGGAAGGACGUCUGUGACGUGUCAGCCAGGAGACCUGCCUUAUAGU